Long non-coding RNA from Anas platyrhynchos (mallard), 1440 nucleotides. RefSeq lists it as uncharacterized. The record is from RefSeq and is a predicted model, not a curated record. NCBI's taxonomy places the organism in Eukaryota, Metazoa, Chordata, Aves, Anseriformes, Anatidae.
UCAGAAAGGUCAUUUUUUAAAACAUCCAUUGUAGCUGAUUCACUAACGUCCAGGGGUUUUUGCCAUACACACAGCACAGAUUUUUUUGAUUAUGUAGAUUUUUUUUUUCUAUUGCAGUUUCAUAUGCAAAGCAUGCAUCAGCCACAUCCAUGCUAUCUCCUAAAGCAGUCAUUCUGAAACCCAAUCUGGGGACAGUGCAGACUAAAUAAAAUUUCAUUUUGAUUUGGCCUCCCGCUGAGAAUGGGACUGCUUUGUUUCAGCCGACAGAACCAGCAAGCCAGAAAGGUGUUGAAUACACAAAUACUGACUUAAUGGACAAUUAUGACUUUAGGACUCCAGGGCAACUACUGAGGGAUAAUAUUACCAGGGUCAUUGUGGUAGAGGAAAUAUUUUUAUAUGGGCGUCAGGAAACGGUGGUCUGGCUAGUGACUGCAGUGGUGUGGAUGGUUACAUGAACAGUAUUUACUCAGGGACAAAGCAUGCCAUCGUUUACCUCUGCCCCAGACCUCAUGGACUACAAGAACAAAUCAAAGUCAAUGCCACCUGGAAAUAUCCAUUGAGGAAGGAUUGUGGAGUCUAGCACCUUGAAACAACCCUUCAACCUGAAGCAAGAGAAUGUCCCUCUGAAGUUCAGGGAACACACAGUCCCACAUCACUGAAGAAAAUGAAACAGAAUGGACGACCGGACCGUUGGUGUUCUUGAGUUCUGCCUCUGAUAAAUGGGUUUUUGAGGAUCAUAUUCUUUGACAUGGAAGCUACCUCCAUGGUUUACUUAUGUGGAUAUCAAAAUAAUCGAUUUGGAUUUGGCUUGCUUGAUGCUGGACGAUUAAUGAAGGAAGCCCUAACUGGACAAAUGUUGGUCUCCUGAGACAAUGUGUUGUUGAUAACAGAAAAAGAUUGCGAAAUAGGAUGUGGAUGUCCAUCUUCAAAGAACUCUAGUUGCCAAGUGAAAACCAGUUAAUUUUGACUGACCACUUUCUCAGCAUCCACUCCUUGUUGAAAUGGCAAAGGAAUGCUGUAUCCAUAGAUAAGAACAAGCUUGUUAACUGAAUGUGGAGAGAUGAAGCAAGCAAAAACAAAGAGAAGUGCAAACAGCUUUGCUGCCACUAUUGUCUAUGACACUGUAUUAGGUCCCAAUUUAGGAUCAAUGAGUGAAUAGGUAUGUAAGAGAAAACACCACUAUUCUACAAAGAAAGGGUAUUUAAAAGGAUUAUUUUAUUUUUUUAAGGAAAAUUCAUGUAAAAUACCUUCUCAGACACGACAUGAUGAUGAUACUAAAGAAGGAGCUUAAUUUGGUUGUCUUAAUUUCAGAUCUUUACAGUGGAACAGUGUUAUGGACAGGUAAUAACUUUCUUGAUCUUAUCAUGUAUUGCCUCACUAUUAACCUUGCUAUUUUUCUAUUGAAGUUACUCAUAUGAGAGAAACCACUAUGUUGUAAAA